UUCACUAAACUAGUUUUUAAAAAUUUUUUAAAAAAAAAAGUCUGAAAAUUCAACCUAACAGGACGUUCUGCACCAGAUCCUUCUCCUCUCUCUCUAUACGAAAUCCUUGAAAUCGUCUUUCUGAUGGAGAAAAUGAAGAUGAAGACGAAGUACAAACAAACCCUAAGACGAAGCAAGCAGAUGAACAAGACGAGAUUGCUGAAAUCGUCUGAAAUCCAUCACGCAUCUUGAAAUCCAGAGACUUGGUAAUGGUACCCUCACAGCGGGUAAACAUUAAAGCAGUGACAAUUGAAAUGGGUAAUGGUAAUUACGUACAACUACUUAACAUGGUAAUUACAUGAGCAGACCAUAUAUACAUAUUCCUGCAAGUGAUGGAGGAAAAUAUAGCAAAAAUGCAUAUUUAGAAGCCUAAUCAAUAUAUAUAUACAUAUAUAUAUAUAUAUGGAGGUACACUUCUCGUUUCAUCUCUCUCAAAAUCGAAUUUUUAUUUUGUUUCAAGCUUCUAUUAUGUGGAGAUGGUACUUUGUUUAUUCAUAAACAGUCUGAUUCAUCUAAUUACAUUUAUUACUUUGAUUGCAGCAACUAAUUUCGCUUGAACAGUAUACUCUUAUAGCACAAAUGGUUUUGAGCGAAUGUCAAACAUCUCUGUAGAGGACAGUUGAGGCACCUACAAAAACACCAAACAAAGCGUAGUAUUAGAUUCUGCUUAAAAAAAUCUAUGAAUAAACAUGAUUAUAUGAGGAUUUAAGUGUCUUAAAAAAAUUGAUUUUCAAGACGUAAAUUCUCACGAGAGGUUGGGGAUUCAAUUCUCCCUAGGUGCUAAUGUUUGUGUACACGUAACUGGGGGGGAAGCAAAGAAACUUGAUUGAUUUAGAAGGUAUCGGUUGCUGAAAUUGCAACACAAUUUCCUGCAGUGAUUUUUGAGCUUUUGUUUUAGGGUUUCUAGUGAUAAAUAAAUGGCCAUAGGAAAGAAAGAGAGAGUUGAUUAGGACAUAAUAGACUAGGGUUUUCAUGAGGCUAUUAUACUGUGAGUAGGAAAUAUCAUAUUUUUGUGGAAGAGAAAAAAGAAAAGAAGAUGAGGAAUAGAAAGGGGAAAAAUAUUCUAGGAACCCUAGCUAGAAUUUUGUUGGAAUGACCUCCUUAAGCUUGGGUUACAUGACAAAUAACACAAAUUCAAAUCUUUAAAACAGGAAGGUUAGAAUUUCCUAUUGCGGGUGAUGUUUUCCCUCUUAAAACUGUGAUUCUGCUGGUUUAGAGAAAGAAUUUUGUUAGAACCAUGUACUUGUCGAGAUUGAAUCACGUUACGAUUCAAACAUACAAAUCCCAAACAAAUAAAAAGAAAAGCACCCUAGGCAUAAGAAAAUUUGUAGAGAAGAUAUAUUUUACCUAGAUUUCAGCUCUCCUAUUAGAAAUUAAAGGAUGAGAAUUUGAUUGAUCUUUCCAUUUGGGUUGUAUAAGGAUUGAGGAGAAAAGAUAUAUGCUAUUAUUGGCAAUGAAUUAUUACUUCUAUAAUGAAAACUUACCAUUCUUAUGUUUAACAGUAGUGUAAUAAUGUUGACUUUUAAUAUAUAUAUUACUACUAAGCAACAAAAUUAUUUUUGUACAGUAUAUUUAUAUAUUUGCAUAUAAAUGCUCCCUUAGGUGCUCUCAACUUUAGACUCUUCUAUGUGCCCCUGCCCUGCCUGAACCUUGCCCUUGGUUCAUGCAACUAAGAUAGGAAGCUUUAGAAUCUUUUGAUUGUUGAAAAUAUUGUGGACCUAAUUACCAUAAAAUGUAAACAACCUGAAACCCAUGAACUACUACAGUUUAUGUCUAGCAAUUCCAAAAAUUAUCUAAAUGCUUCGGACUCCUGUAUUAAAAUCAAAUUAGCUGCAUAGUAACCUAAAACUAGUGCAAAAUGAGGGCCAAAUUAGACUUAUAGUUCAUUAGAUAAUGUCCACAAGCGCAAUAUGAAAUUGUAGUUUGGCCACUACUAUUGCUAGCACAUUCUUGAUCGAUGGGAUGGGACACUUGGAAGACGAUUUUUGAAUUGUUAUGGCUCAAAUUCCAUUCUUUUUAGGAGUUUCUUUUAAUUUAAUGUUUAUAUAUAGAAGAUUUUAACUUUGAAAAAUCAACUUCAUUUUGCCCAC
Camellia sinensis is the source of this 2129-nucleotide long non-coding RNA. RefSeq lists it as uncharacterized. NCBI's taxonomy places the organism in Eukaryota, Viridiplantae, Streptophyta, Magnoliopsida, Ericales, Theaceae. The record is from RefSeq and is a predicted model, not a curated record.